Neogobius melanostomus (round goby) is the source of this 192-nucleotide small nuclear RNA. Its record names the gene U2. It matches the Rfam family "U2 spliceosomal RNA". Rfam says of the family: U2 is a small nuclear RNA (snRNA) component of the spliceosome (involved in pre-mRNA splicing). Complementary binding between U2 snRNA (in an area lying towards the 5' end but 3' to hairpin I) and the branchpoint sequence (BPS) of the intron results the bulging out of an unpaired adenosine, on the BPS, which initiates a nucleophilic attack at the intronic 5' splice site, thus starting the first of two transesterification reactions that mediate splicing. The record is from Ensembl. NCBI's taxonomy places the organism in Eukaryota, Metazoa, Chordata, Actinopteri, Gobiiformes, Gobiidae.
AUCGCUUCUCGGCCUUUUGGCUAAGAUCAAGUGUAGUAUCUGUUCUUAUCAGUUUAAUAUCUGAUACGUCCCCUACCCGGGGACCAUAUAUUAAAUUGAUUUUUGGAGCAGGGAGAUGGAAUUAGGGGCUUGCUCCGUCCACUCCACGCAUCGACUGGGUAUUGCAGUACUUCCUGGAACGGUGCAUCCACC